Molecule: long non-coding RNA, 1001 nt
Filed under: Cyanistes caeruleus (blue tit)
Lineage: Eukaryota; Metazoa; Chordata; Aves; Passeriformes; Paridae
Description: lncRNA (ENSCCEG00000019071.1)
Source: RNAcentral
AGCUGCUACUGCUGUGACGAGAGGACAGAGGGCGAGGAGGCGGCCGAAAAGCCCCGGCGGCACGAAUGUCACAAGGCCGAGUCCCCGCCGCAGGAGCCGGCGGGCGACACGCAGGAGCACUGGCUGCACGAGGCCUGUGCCGUAUGGACCGCUGGGGUUUUCCUGGUGGCGGGGAAGCUCUAUGGGCUGCAGGAGGCUGUCAAGGCGGCUGCCGACCUGAAGUGCUCGAGCUGCCAGCAAGUGGGAGCCACUGUGGGCUGCUGCCAGAAGGGGUGUCCCCACACCUACCACUACGCGUGUGCCGUCGACACAGGUGAGCCCGGCCACGGGGUUGGGGCACGGGGUCCUGGGCAGCUGAAUGAUGCUCCAGGGUCUCUGGAUCUCUGACCCAGCUGAAUGAUGCUCCAGGGUCUCUGGAUCUCUGACCCAGCUGAAUGAUGCUCCAGGGUCAGGGGUGCGGCUCGCUGGCUUGCCAGGAUGGUGGUGCCCGCUUUGCCAGCAGCACUAGCAGGUGUCACAAGCUUCUCUGGCCUCAGCUGAGCCCUUCACACAAAUGCUGUGGAUGGUGGGUGGCCGUGGACCAGGGGGACACUGCAUCCCCCCACUCUGGGGCAGCUGCCUCACAGUGCAGGGUGUCCCCUGACACAUCCUUGUCCUCUCCUUGCAGGUUGCUUAUUAACUGAGGAGAGCUUCUCUCUGAGAUGUCCCAAACAUAAGGUAAGCCCAGAGCCCCCCUGUGCACCCCUCAAUGAUCUGCAGCUCUCUGUGGCAGGAGGACCUGCCUUCAGACCCCGAAUUCCUGGGGACACCCAUCCUGGAUGCUCAGCUCUGUAUGGGCAUCACAUCCCUGGGGAUAUCGGUGGGUGCUGCUGGGUCUGGGACACCCCAGCUGGGUCUGAGGGGUCUUAUCCCCUUCUCUGAGCACAGAGGAGGUGGUGAAUGGAUGGCUGAGCCCCUUCUCAAAGCGCUGCGUCCCGGGUGAAUGCCCGGUUAUUGGCGGG